UACGUAGGGGGCUAGCGUUGUUCGGAUUUACUGGGCGUAAAGGGCGCGUAGGCGGCGUGACAAGUCACUUGUGAAAUCUCUGGGCUUAACCCAGAACGGCCAAGUGAAACUGUUGUGCUAGAGUGCAGAAGGGGCAAUCGGAAUUCUCGGUGUAGCGGUGAAAUGCGUAGAUAUCGAGAGGAACACCAGAGGUGAAGACGGGUUGCUGGGCUGACACUGACGCUGAGGCGCGAAAGCCAGGGGAGCAAACGGG
This 253-nucleotide ribosomal RNA is filed under the name uncultured bacterium. RNAcentral describes it as "partial 16S ribosomal RNA". It matches the Rfam family "Bacterial small subunit ribosomal RNA", at positions 524 to 776 of the family's 1533-position model. The record is from RNAcentral.